Long non-coding RNA from Magallana angulata, 820 nucleotides. RefSeq lists it as uncharacterized. The transcript has 3 exons. Lineage: Eukaryota; Metazoa; Mollusca; Bivalvia; Ostreida; Ostreidae. The record is from RefSeq and is a predicted model, not a curated record.
CCAACUGACAUCUUCAACAUUACUCCUUGCACCUUUUCAACCUUCCUGAUGAGAGCCGCAUUGACGGAUAUCUGACAAAGAAAUGAUCAAUUAUAAUUUUGUUCUUCUGACAAAACAUGGCAAUCUUCUCGCUGUUUUCUGUUCAUCAUGGCUGACAGAGACAAAGCGAGACAAAUCUGAUGAACGGACGGACAUCUCCAGCAAUGACGGGCCGAUUGUUCCCCGGCGCUCCAGUCCACUGACUGUGUACAUCACGUGACAGCUGUCAUCCAUCAAAACCGAGGGAAAAAGUAUCAUUUAUUUCUCCAACCUUUGCUACAUCUGUCAGGGUUGUCUAUACAUUAUAUUUAUGGCCUCUUUCCUUCUCUCUUUUACAAUUCAACGAACAGAAUAUUCUACAAUGUUAUAGAACUGUUAACAAAUUAAUUACAGUCUUUUAAGGCAAAUAUUAUACCAUCUUCAUAAUCCAAUUAUAUUAAUUGAAAUGAUUGAUACAUUUACGUUUAAAUCAACCUGCAUUUGUGCAUAGAUUUACAAUUUAGUGUACUGCGCUAUUAAGACAGCGUUUUGUAUGUCAUUGGAUUUAUUUGUUAUUUUAUGUCUCUUUCAGGCAAUUUCGUUUAUAUCCAGGCACUGCCUUUCUUUCUAAGGAUCUGUUGGACGCAUACUUUUACCAUGAUUUUAAAUUUCUAUGCUUAGCAUAAUUAAUAAGACAAAAUUUUUAACUGAUGUUUGAUAACUGUGUAUAAUAUAAAAAAUGAUGGAUAUCGAUAUACAGUCAAACUUCGGUAUCUCGAACUGGAUGGUUCUGUUUAAAAAC